RNAcentral lists this long non-coding RNA (202 nucleotides) under Bos indicus x Bos taurus (hybrid cattle). RNAcentral describes it as "lncRNA (ENSBIXG00005005655.1)". Lineage: Eukaryota; Metazoa; Chordata; Mammalia; Artiodactyla; Bovidae. The record is from RNAcentral.
CCAUCAUAGAUUGAGGCACCUCCUGUCCCAGCAGGACCCUCAGGAUAUUCUCAAUAUAAAAUAAAAACCAUUGUGGAUGAUAGGAGGAAAACACAAACAAGCCACCAGAGAUGGUUGAAGAAAGGAAAUGGGACGUGAGAAUAAAGAGAUAUCUUCCAUUUCCAGUUGUGAGAAAUGAAGACAAUAUCUAGAGACCAUAGAC